ACGUAGGGUGCGAGCGUUAAUCGGAAUUACUGGGCGUAAAGCGUGCGCAGGCGGUUUCGUAAGACAGAUGUGAAAUCCCCGGGCUUAACCUGGGAACUGCAUUUGUGACUGCGAGACUAGAGUGUAGCAGAGGGGGGUAGAAUUCCACGUGUAGCAGUGAAAUGCGUAGAUAUGUGGAGGAAUACCGAUGGCGAAGGCAGCCCCCUGGGCUAACACUGACGCUCAUGCACGAAAGCGUGGGGAGCAAACAGGAUUAGAUACCCUGGUAGUCCACGCCCUAAACGAUGUCAACUAGGUGUUGGGGAAGGAGACUUCUUUAGUACCGCAGCUAACGCGAUAAGUUGACCGCCUGGGGAGUACGGUCGCAAGAUUA
Molecule: ribosomal RNA, 373 nt
Filed under: uncultured bacterium
Lineage: Bacteria
Description: bacterial SSU rRNA
Rfam family: Bacterial small subunit ribosomal RNA
Source: RNAcentral